AAAUUGAAGAGUUUGAUCAUGGCUCAGAUUGAACGCUGGCGGCAGGCCUAACACAUGCAAGUCGAACGGUAGCACAGAGAGCUUGCUCUCGGGUGACGAGUGGCGGACGGGUGAGUAAUGUCUGGGAAACUGCCUGAUGGAGGGGGAUAACUACUGGAAACGGUGGCUAAUACCGCAUAACGUCGCAAGACCAAAGAGGGGGACCUUCGGGCCUCUUGCCAUCAGAUGUGCCCAGAUGGGAUUAGCUAGUUGGUGAGGUAACGGCUCACCAAGGCGACGAUCCCUAGCUGGUCUGAGAGGAUGACCAGCCACACUGGAACUGAGACACGGUCCAGACUCCUACGGGAGGCAGCAGUGGGGAAUAUUGCACAAUGGGCGCAAGCCUGAUGCAGCCAUGCCGCGUGUAUGAAGAAGGCCUUCGGGUUGUAAAGUACUUUCAGCG
RNAcentral lists this ribosomal RNA (442 nucleotides) under Salmonella enterica. RNAcentral's name for it is "bacterial SSU rRNA". It matches the Rfam family "Bacterial small subunit ribosomal RNA", at positions 1 to 441 of the family's 1533-position model. Lineage: Bacteria; Pseudomonadati; Pseudomonadota; Gammaproteobacteria; Enterobacterales; Enterobacteriaceae. The record is from RNAcentral.